UUUUAUGGAGAGUUUGAUCCUGGCUCAGGAUGAACGCUGGCGGCGUGCCUAAUACAUGCAAGUCGAGCGAACGGACGAGAAGCUUGCUUCUCUGAUGUUAGCGGCGGACGGGUGAGUAACACGUGGAUAACCUACCUAUAAGACUGGGAUAACUUCGGGAAACCGGAGCUAAUACCGGAUAAUAUUUUGAACU
RNAcentral lists this ribosomal RNA (193 nucleotides) under Staphylococcus aureus. RNAcentral describes it as "partial 16S ribosomal RNA". It matches the Rfam family "Bacterial small subunit ribosomal RNA", at positions 1 to 187 of the family's 1533-position model. The record is from RNAcentral. Lineage: Bacteria; Bacillati; Bacillota; Bacilli; Caryophanales; Staphylococcaceae.